Gasterosteus aculeatus aculeatus (three-spined stickleback) is the source of this 1703-nucleotide long non-coding RNA. NCBI's taxonomy places the organism in Eukaryota, Metazoa, Chordata, Actinopteri, Perciformes, Gasterosteidae. The record is from Ensembl.
GGCGGAGUCAGUACCUCCGCCCGCCUGAAGGGGGCGUGCGUGAGCACGCGGGCUCGUUCCGCUGUUGUUUUUCCUUCACGUGUUACAGACUGAUAGCAUGGUUAGCAUGUGCUAGCUGUAGCGAACGUCAAGGGCACAUUAACAGUCCUUGAAAACGUACAGUCUGAAUCGGACCGACCAAAAGGCGACUUUCACCCCGAGCAAUAAUGUCUAUUGAAACAGAGAGAUUGUUGAAACUAAAAGAAGAUAAAGAGGACUUUCACACCAAAGUUAUAGAGAUGUUUUUUCCAGAAGGAUAGGCGAAUGGACUUAACCUAAUUUACAAGUAAAGAAAGAGUCAGCGCCUCCCAGCCACGAUCCUCACCACACGUCACUGCUCCACGCGGCACAAAACCGACUCUGUGUCCAACGUCUCACCAUUGAUUCAUUAAUGAUUGAAUCCCCGCCCCGUUGGUCACAUCGCCCGCCAGCCAUUCGUGCUCGACUCAAUCCUCAGCAGCUUUGUGUGAGUCGCGUCCGGGAUGGGGAGCGCCCGCUCGCAGGCAGACAGCCCACUGGGAAGCAGCGUCCACCCAGCUCGGGGCUUUAUUGCCUCCAUCUGUUUCCUGUGAGCCAACUCCAGCUGCGGCCAAAUAACAGCGGUGCAUUUGGGAAAAUUCAGCAGCCCAAUUUAGUAGUCGUAGGCACUCUCCAUUGUACUGAGGCUCCCUUUCGCUGCAUUUCCCGUAUUGGCGGAGUCCUAAAUCUUUGGAUAAAUUGCGCCUCUUCUUUCUUUUAUUUAUUCGUCUGCGUUUGGGUCUUGCUUCCAUUUCCUGCUUCCUUCGUGCGUCCUCCUGAACCCGCUCAUCAUGCUGCUGUUGCUCUCCGCCCUCUUCUCCCCCAUCACCUUUCACCCUCCCUCAAGAAUUCUUCUAUUUAGGAUGCUGCUCUCCUCACAGCCCCGAAGGACGCCCCCAGUGGGGUCAGUCUCCUCUAAUCAGCCUUUUAUGGAUUGUUAAACUUCCGGUGAGCUUAUUUUCUUGCACAAAUGCAACGUAGAUCUCUUGAUCCCCCCAGUUUCCCCUACUCCUGCUCUCAGUGUUAUCAAUAAUUCAAGCCUCACUCAUGGCGGCCCGGGCAGGGUGAGGCGGUGGAAGCCGCUGGGGGCGGAACAGAAGGUCAGGUCUCACCGGGGCCUCUGGGAUGGCAUUAAUUAGACACUUCCUGGUGCCCGCUAAACCAACACGACUGUUCUCAUUACCCUUCACCUCGCAGCAGGUCCUGAAGAGUUUGACAUAUUCAUACGAUAACAACCAAACACUUUUGCCCUUAACUGCUCACUUGUCCCCGCCUCAACUUUUGACCCCCCCGCCCCGCCCCACCCCUAGGGUUAGAAAUACACAUCCAUUCACACUCAACCUGACCUCGAGCUGUUGCUUACCAAGUCCCCCGCAGCAGCUGUUUUCCGUCUCUGUCUUCGGUUUAUACCCGAGUGUUAAUGCUCUUCCUCGUCCCGCCAUACCUCUUCUGACCUCCUGAAUGGCCUCUGAUGGGCUGAUCCCUCCCUCCUCUCCCCCUCCUCUCCACUACCCACUCAACCUGGUUUAUGUCCCAACAACUCAUUACAAGAGUGAUGGCUAUCUCACGCUCCCCAUCAGGCUGUCCGAGGCAGCCGCCUCCAUCCUGAUCAUUGGCCAUCCAUCUCUCUGGCAAAGGGAAGGGGG